GGUCUGCCAACCCACAUCUCCCUCAUCAUAUAGCAGGCAGCAAUGUAGUGGUCUGCCAACCCACAUCUCUCUCAUCAUAUAGCAGGUAGCAAUGUAGUGGUCUGCCAACCCACAUCUCUCUCAUCAUAUAGCAGGCAGCAAUGUAGUGGUCUGCCAACCCACAUCUCUCUCAUCAUAUAGCAGGCAGCAAUGUAGUGGUCUGCCAACCCACAGCUCUCUCAUCAUAUAGCAGGCAGCAAUGUAGUGGUCUGCCAACCCACAGCUCUCUCAUCUCUCUCAUCAUAUAGCAGGCAGCAAUGUAGUGGUCUGCCAACCCACAUCUCUCUCAUCUCUCUCAUCAUAUAGCAGGCAGCAAUGUAGUGGUCUGCCAACCCACAUCUCUCUCAUCUCUCUCAUCAUAUAGCAGGCAGCAAUGUAGUGGUCUGCCAACCCACAUCUCUCUCAUCAUAUAGCAGGCAGCAAUGUAGUGGUCUGCCAACCCACAUCUCUCUCAUCUCCCUCAUCAUAUAGCAGGCAGCAAUGUAGUGGUCUGCCAACCCCCAGCUCUCUCAUCUCCCUCAUCAUAUAGCAGGCAGCAAUGUAGUGGUCUGCCAACCCACAGCUCUCUCAUCUCCCUCAUCAUAUAGCAGGCAGCAAUGUAGUGGUCUGCCAACCCACAGCUCUCUCAUCAUAUAGCAGGCAGCAAUGUAGUGGUCUGCCAACCCACAUCUCUCUCAUCAUAUAGCAGGCAGCAAUGUAGUGGUCUGCCAACCCAUCUCUCAUCUCUCUCAUCAUAUAGCAGGCAGCAAUGUAGUGGUCUGCCAACCCACAUCUCUCAUCAUAUAGCAGGCAGCAAUGUAGUGGUCUGCCAACCCACAGCUCUCUCAUCAUAUAGCAG
Long non-coding RNA from Oncorhynchus tshawytscha (Chinook salmon), 877 nucleotides. The record is from Ensembl. Lineage: Eukaryota; Metazoa; Chordata; Actinopteri; Salmoniformes; Salmonidae.